This 484-nucleotide ribosomal RNA is filed under the name uncultured bacterium. RNAcentral's name for it is "partial 16S ribosomal RNA". It matches the Rfam family "Bacterial small subunit ribosomal RNA", at positions 30 to 507 of the family's 1533-position model. The record is from RNAcentral.
AUUGAACGCUGGCGGCAGGCCUAACACAUGCAAGUCGAGCGGAUGAAGGGAGCUUGCUCCUGGAUUCAGCGGCGGACGGGUGAGUAAUGCCUAGGAAUCUGCCUGGUAGUGGGGGAUAACGUCCGGAAACGGGCGCUAAUACCGCAUACGUCCUGAGGGAGAAAGUGGGGGAUCUUCGGACCUCACGCUAUCAGAUGAGCCUAGGUCGGAUUAGCUAGUUGGUGGGGUAAAGGCCUACCAAGGCGACGAUCCGUAACUGGUCUGAGAGGAUGAUCAGUCACACUGGAACUGAGACACGGUCCAGGCUCCUACGGGAGGCAGCAGUGGGGAAUAUUAGACAAUGGGCGAAAGCCUGGUCCAGCCAUGCCGCGUGUGUGAAGAAGGUCUUCGGAUUGUAAAGCACGUUAAGUUGGGAGGAAGGGCAGUAAGUUAAGACCUUGCUGUUUUGACGUUAACAACAGAAUAAGCACCGGCUAACUUCGUG